This 484-nucleotide ribosomal RNA is filed under the name uncultured bacterium. RNAcentral's name for it is "partial 16S ribosomal RNA". It matches the Rfam family "Bacterial small subunit ribosomal RNA", at positions 30 to 507 of the family's 1533-position model. The record is from RNAcentral.
AUUGAACGCUGGCGGCAUGCCUAACACAUGCAAGUCGAGCGGACGAAUGGAGCUCUUGCCCGUCUUCCGUGGCGGACGGGCGAGUAAUUCCCACGAAGCUGACCGGCAUAUGAGGAUAACGUCCCUUAGGGAGCCCUGAUACCAUACACGUUCAUAUGUUGAACCGGAGGGAUCAAUGGAGCAAACCCUUUUUGCUGAGCCUAGGUCGGAUUAGCUAGUUGGUUGGGUAAAGGCCUACCAAGGCGACGAUCCGUAACUGGUCUGAGAGGAUGAUCAGUCACACUGGAACUGAGACACGGUCCAGACUCCUACGGGAGGCAGCAGUAGGGAAUAUUGGACAAUGGGCGAAAGCCUGAUCCAGCCAUGCCGCGUGUGUGAAGAAGGUCUUCGGAUUGUAAAGCACUUUUAGUUGGGAGGAAGGACAGUAAGUUAAUACAUUGCUGUUUUGACGUUACCAACAGAAUAAGCACCGGCUAACUUCGUG